RNAcentral lists this ribosomal RNA (506 nucleotides) under uncultured bacterium. Its description in RNAcentral is "bacterial SSU rRNA". It matches the Rfam family "Bacterial small subunit ribosomal RNA", at positions 857 to 1360 of the family's 1533-position model. The record is from RNAcentral.
GCGUGAAGUAGACCGCCUGGGAGUACGGUCGCAAGAUUAAAACUACAAAGGAAUUGACGGGGGCCCGGCACAAGCGGUGGAUUAUGUGGAUUAAUUCGAUGCAACGCGAAAACCUUACCUGGCCUUGACAUGCCACUAACGAAGCAGAGAUGCAUUAGGUGCCCGAAAGGGAAAGUGGACACAGGUGCUGCAUGGCUGUCGUCAGCUCGUGUCGUGAGAUGUUGGGGUUAAGUCCCCGCAACGAGCGCAACCCUUGCCGAUAGUUGCUACAUUCAGUUGAGCACUCUAUUGGGACUGCCGGUGACAAACCGGAGGAAGGUGGGGAUGACGUCAAGUCCUCAUGGCCCUUAUGGCCAGGGCUUCACACGUAAUACAAUGGUCGGUACAGAGGGUUGCCAACCCGCGAGGGGGAGCUAAUCUCAGAAAGCCGAUCGUAGUCCGGAUUGCACUCUGCAACUCGAGUGCAUGAAGUCGGAAUCGCUAGUAAUCGCGGAUCAGCAUGCCGC